UCCGUGCGCACGCUUGAUCUGGGCCGUCCAUGCGCGCGGGGACGCAUCUGGGCCGUCUGAUCGCGCGCACGCGGAUCGCCCACGUGGCCCGUUCCCGGGUCGGCGUGGCCUUGCCACACAGCAGGUCCUGGUUGGCCAGGGCUGCUGACUGGGCCGCUGACGUGGCGUUGACGGGGCACAAUUUUUUCUAAAUUGCGUUUUGACCCCCCAGUUUCUGAUUUUCUUUUUAAAAAUACCCCCAUAAUCUAAAUUUUCACCCAUUUUUUUCAAAAUUAAUUUCAAUU
RNAcentral lists this long non-coding RNA (284 nucleotides) under Carica papaya (papaya). Its description in RNAcentral is "long non-coding RNA (CPAP_LNC011157)". The record is from RNAcentral. Lineage: Eukaryota; Viridiplantae; Streptophyta; Magnoliopsida; Brassicales; Caricaceae.